This is a long non-coding RNA of Peromyscus californicus insignis, 3491 nucleotides long. RefSeq lists it as uncharacterized. NCBI's taxonomy places the organism in Eukaryota, Metazoa, Chordata, Mammalia, Rodentia, Cricetidae. The transcript has 2 exons. The record is from RefSeq and is a predicted model, not a curated record.
CUUUGCAUUUUCACAGUGUUAUAAAAUUUAUAUGCCUAUAUAAUAUGAUCUCAAAAUAUUUCUUUGUGCUAAUCACAUUUCUCACCACUGUGGCGGAAUGCCCAGCAAAACAACUUAAGAGAAGGAAGGCAUAUUUUGGCUCCUGGUUUCUCAAGUUUCCAUUUGACAUGAUGGGGAAGGCGUUGUGCAUGCAGGAACUGUCCUGUCAGAGGUGGCAAGAGUGUGAGGUGGUGGCUGCUCACACUGUGGUUAACCAAGAAGCAGCAAGUGGAGAAUUAGAAUGAAGGGCAGGGAAAGAAAAUAUGAAAUUUGAGGUUACUUUUUAAAUUGAAUUUUAUAAUAUAAAUUAUAUAAAUACAUAUAAUAUAAAGUUUAGUGGUGGAGACCUAUAAAUGUUGCCUUUAAUUUCUUUUCAGAAUGACUUUCGCAGACUUGUGUUUAAUAAAAUUGUAAUCUUCAGUGAUACCAUAAGAAUCUUGUUAACAGUUGGUCUAUCGUUAAUUACUGGGAAGAUGGCAAACAUUUUAAAGGGUUCAGAUGUCUCCAGGAUUGUUGUGUUGACUGUUCUGUCUCUGAAAUUCCUUCUCUUAGACCCCUUUCCUUCCCUUUCUGGAAUUCACCCUGCUCUGGGAGGCUGACCUCCACAAGCAAUGUCCUCUGUGUCGCAUCUUGACAGGUUUCAUGUGAAGGUUCUCUCUAGGAAAAGAACUAAGAGACUUCAUAUAAAAUUAUAAAGAGAAUUUAUUUGGUUGGUCACACAAUCAGAGGCUGAAUGGUCCCACAAUGACUGUCUCUGUAAGCUAGAGAACUGGGAAAGCCAGUGGCUGUUUGGUCGAAGAAUUUAGAAGCCUCAGAAGAAAGGACCGAUGCAUUCCUUGUCCGAGACUGAAGAGCUGAAGCCCUCUGAAGACUCUCUGGUCAGAGUCUAUCUUCAAACACUGGAAAAAGAUAUCUAAGAGCAAUGGCAGCAGAAAACACGUGUCCACUGAAUGAGAACAGAAGACAGAUAUAAGGGGCCAGAAAAUGAAUGGAAAACUUGAGUACAAGGCUUUAGGCUGAACAGGAGCUGAACAGUGGUGUUGCCUACAGAGACCAAGAUCAAGGUUACACUGCGGGAGAGGUCUGGCUCCCACAUUCUGCCGCUGUGAGAACUGUGAACCGUUCUCAAACCAGUUUGCUUUUGACCCAGCCUGCAAAGUUCAUGGAGGAGCCAGGCUCAGAGCUUUCCUUAGACGAGAUUGGGAGUGGUCACAGGGGCUAUGGAUCAUCUGGCUUCUAAAAUAAGAAGUAUUCAUAGACAAUGUGGCAGAUACAAAGCAGAAACGGAGCCCAAAUAGUCAGAAAUGACCCGUGCCAGUGCUGGCAGGACAACUCAGCUGCUAAGGUGCUUGCCUUGAAAUACAAGGCCCUGAGUUGAAAUAUGCAGAAUUCAUAUGAACAACAACUUUUUAAAAAGUCAGGUUUGGUGGUCUACACUUGCUCUCCCAGCACUGAGGAAAUAGAUACAAGAAACUGAGCUCACUGGUCAGCCUGCCUCACCUUCUUGAUAAGUUCCAUGCCAGAGGAAAUUUUGUCUCAAAAAAGUAUACAGAGCUUGUAGAACAUAACCUUAGGUUGUCUUCUGGCAAAGACGUACACACACAUGCAUCCCCACACACCCCCACACACAAUGACCAAUGUCUUCUGUAUGUACUAUCUAUAAUGACAUCUUAAUGUUCAGCACGUAUUAUGUAGUGAAUACUUAUUGUAAUAUAUUAUAGACUUAAAAGGUUAGAGAGUUAAUGACUUCUUAACUAUGUAAUUAUUUGCUCAUUCAUUUAUUGAUCUCUCCUUUUCUGUAUCAGCUAUCAAAUAAGAGUCAUUGGCUAAGUUAUGCCGAAUGUAUUUUUAGAUUUCACCUAUGUCAACCCAGUAUAUUCCUUUCAAGUAUAUAUACACACAGCAAAGAGUUCAAAAUAUUAUGAAUCAGAUUCAUGUAAAUAUGCUAUUAUGUAUCUUUUCCAAGAAAUGGUAUUGUCAGAGAUAAUAGAUAACCUUCACAGAUGAAUUUGUUUCUGGCUCUCAGGAUUCUAAACCCAUUCUGAAGAUCAAUGUUAAUUCAAGAGUUCUCAGCUCAAAAUGCAGCUUGUUCUGAGCUCUGGGUAUGUUGCAGGAGAGGGAGAAGGGAAUGAUUUGUGACCCAGAGAAUGUGCUUUGACAGCCCAAACCCAAAACACAUUCAAAAAUUUCCACAGGGGCUUUCUAGGUGACCUUGUAGGGGAGCAAUCUUCACCAGGUAGAGGGAAGGAAAGAAACUGCCUGGGAAGACAUCUAGGUGAAAUAUAAGGAGAAAAGAACAGUGGAUUUUUACCUUGUGGCUACUUUGGGUUUUCAGAAAUACAUCUUCGUGUGUUUUGCAUACAUGGCAUCUUUGCAGACAUUUUGGAGAAUUUGGAAGGCAGAGGCAGCAUCUUCCUACAGACCUCUGAGUAAUGAAAGGAUCCCACUAGUGUCCGAGGCGGGCUGGUUCCUGCUGCCCUGGAGCUAAGUGCUGUCACUGAAGCUUCUCUCCAAAGCCUCCUUGGAAGCUGGGUGUGGAGCUGGUCCACAGGGUCUAAUUAUAAGAUUCCUGAAGUCCCAUGCCUCUGUUAGCUAGAAAUAAAGGUCAACUAACAGUUCAGCUAGAAGCCUCUGCCCUGAGUUAAGUAUGAGGGAUCAAGAGGAGUGAAGCCUUUAGCAUCAAUUCACCAACUUAUUCCUUAGAAGGGGAAACUCGGAGCAAUCGCUCCUUCUCUUCUGGAUUGUUCAAUAUCCAUAGAAAUAAAUGGAAUGCAGAUAUUCUGAAGCACCAAGAAGACAACUUCAAACUUAUUUUAAAAACAACAUAUAGUCUCUAAGUGGUAAAAUCACAAUAAACUGUGAUGCCUAUUUCUCUAAUAUAACUUUUAAAAUAGUACUUAUUAGUCAUUAUGGUCAUCCAUAGCCAGACAGCAUCAUGGGACAAAAAGUGACACAGUGUUGCUGGAAUUAGCUAGAAAUGAAGUUUAGGAACACUUGAAAAUCUUUAUUUCCUUCCCAGAAUAAACAACUAUGUACUUUCUUGUUUUUUCAAAAGAAAAUGUUAGAUUGAAUGCACAAAGGGGAAGACAGACCUCUGGGAUAUUUCUGACUUUUAAAAAGGAUCAAACUCUAAACACCACACUCUUUCAAAAUUGAUUUGAGUCUCAGAGGUUAUUUGUAGUGGGUAGCCAUUCCAGCCUUGAUCUGGAAGUUCCAGUCCCCAUUGAGGCUUCGGUAACUGUCACACCUACAAGGCAGAGCCAGGAGAGGACCCUGAAGACCCGAGAUCCGGAUGCGCCGGCUCUCUUGGUUCCUGGACCCUGGACGCUGGAGGUAGACCGAGCAGAGUUCUCCAGAGAACACCACCGGACUGCGCCAUGCCUUACCCAGACUCUGUAAACUAUCCAUUCACUUGUAAAUUACCCCACAAAAUAAACCUCCCUUUUAACUAC